UAAUUUAAAGUCUAGCCUGCCCAAUGAUAAUUUUAAUGGCCGCAGUAUUUUGACUGUGCAAAGGUAGCAUAAUCAUUAGUUUCUUAAUUAGAAACUAGAAUGAAAGGUUGAACGAAAAAGUAACUGUCUCUUUAUAAUUUUUUUAGAAUUUUAUUUUUAAGUUAAAAAGCUUAAAUAAGUUUGAAAGACGAGAAGACCCUAUAGAGUUUAAUAUUUUAUUAAUUAAAUUUUAAAAUAGAAUUAUUAUUAUUUGAUUAAAAAAAGUAUUUGAUUGGGGUGAUUGAAAAAUUUAGUUAACUUUUUUUUUAUUAAGACAUAUAUAAAUGAUUAAUUGAUCCAUUAUUAAUGAUUAUAAGAUUAAAUUACCUUAGGGAUAACAGCGUAAUUUUUUUUAAGAGUUCUUAUCGAUAAAAAAGUUUGCGACCUCGAUGUUGGAUUAAAAUAAAUUUUUGGUGUAGAAGCUAAAAAAUUAGGUCUGUUCGACCUUUAAAAUUUU
This 496-nucleotide ribosomal RNA is filed under the name Aleochara puetzi. RNAcentral describes it as "partial 16S ribosomal RNA". It matches the Rfam family "Bacterial large subunit ribosomal RNA", at positions 1843 to 2597 of the family's 2925-position model. Lineage: Eukaryota; Metazoa; Arthropoda; Insecta; Coleoptera; Staphylinidae. RNAcentral also lists the same sequence under 1 other name. The record is from RNAcentral.